RNAcentral lists this ribosomal RNA (382 nucleotides) under Tropidophorus sp. 1 PLW-2019. RNAcentral describes it as "partial small subunit ribosomal RNA". It matches the Rfam family "Bacterial small subunit ribosomal RNA", at positions 794 to 1384 of the family's 1533-position model. Lineage: Eukaryota; Metazoa; Chordata; Lepidosauria; Squamata; Scincidae. The record is from RNAcentral.
GCCUAGCCCUAAACACAGAUAAUAAAAACACAAUACUAUCCGCCAGAGAACUACAAGCGAAAAGCUUAAAACUCCAAGGACUUGGCGGUGCUUCAAACCAACCUAGAGGAGCCUGUCCUAUAAUCGAUACCCCACGUUCUACCUUACCCCCCCUCGCAAACCAGCCUAUAUACCGCCGUCGCCAGCCUACCUUAUGAAAGAAGUAAAGUAGGCAAAACAAUUAAUAACUAACACGUCAGGUCAAGGUGUAGCACACGGGGCGGCAGAGAUGGGCUACAUUUUUCCCCAACCACACGAACGGCACACUGAAACAAUGACCCAAAGGUGGAUUUAGUAGUAAGAUAGACAAGAUACCCUAUCUUAAACCUGCUCUGAAGCGCGC